This 497-nucleotide ribosomal RNA is filed under the name uncultured bacterium. RNAcentral's name for it is "partial 16S ribosomal RNA". It matches the Rfam family "Bacterial small subunit ribosomal RNA", at positions 28 to 507 of the family's 1533-position model. The record is from RNAcentral.
GAUGAACGCUGGCGGCGUGCCUAAUACAUGCAAGUCGAGCGAACAGACGAGGAUCUUGCUCCUCUGACGUUAGCGGCGGACGGGUGAGUAACACGUGGAUAACCUACCUAUAAGACUGGGAUAACUUCGGGAAACCGGAGCUAAUACCGUAUAAUAUAUUGAACCGCAUGGUUCAAUAGUGAAAGACGGUUUUGCUGUCACGUAUAGAUGGAUCCGCGCCGCAUUAGCUAGUUGGUAAGGUAACGGCUUACCAAGGCAACGAUGCGUAGCCGACCUGAGAGGGUGAUCGGCCACACUGGAACUGAGACACGGUCCAGACUCCUACGGGAGGCAGCAGUAGGGAAUCUUCCGCAAUGGGCGAAAGCCUGACGGAGCAACGCCGCGUGAGUGAUGAAGGUCUUCGGAUCGUAAAACUCUGUUAUUAGGGAAGAACAAAUGUGUAAGUAACUAUGCACGUCUUGACGGUACCUAAUCAGAAAGCCACGGCUAACUACGUG